This 126-nucleotide small nuclear RNA is filed under the name Saimiri boliviensis boliviensis (Bolivian squirrel monkey). RNAcentral's name for it is "U4 spliceosomal RNA (ENSSBOG00000014937.1)". It matches the Rfam family "U4 spliceosomal RNA". From Rfam's summary of the family: U4 small nuclear RNA (U4 snRNA) is a component of the major U2-dependent spliceosome. The structure of U4 snRNA from yeast and human has been reported. Lineage: Eukaryota; Metazoa; Chordata; Mammalia; Primates; Cebidae. The record is from Rfam by way of RNAcentral.
AGCUUUGUACAGUGGCAGUAUCGUAGCCAGUGAGGUUUAUCUGAGGCUCGAUUAUUGCUAAUUGAAAACUAAACACUUAUUUAAGACUGGGUGUGGCGGCUCACACCUGUAAUCCCAGCACUUUGG